Suricata suricatta (meerkat) is the source of this 873-nucleotide long non-coding RNA. RefSeq lists it as uncharacterized. NCBI's taxonomy places the organism in Eukaryota, Metazoa, Chordata, Mammalia, Carnivora, Herpestidae. The transcript is spliced from 2 exons. The record is from RefSeq and is a predicted model, not a curated record.
CACGGGAAGUGGGGGUCUGUGGGGAGUGGGGACAGGGUGCGUGGGCUCGGGAGGAGGGCCUGCACGAGGGCACCUUUGCAGGCACUGAUCAUCUGCAGCACCAUCUCCGCGGCCCCUCGGUUGUGCAGCCGCGCCUGCUGGUACAGGAGCCUCUGCUUCUCCAUCUCUUUCUCCUGCGGCAGAGCCAGGCCCGCGGGGCCGAGUGAGGCCCGGCUCACCAGCCCAGCCUUUCCCCCUCCCAGCUUCACCCUUCACCCUGACACUCCCUGUUCCAACCACACCUAAUUUCUUUCUUUCUUCUUUUUUUUUUAAUGUUUAUUAACAUGUGAGAGAGUGCUCAUGCGAGAGCAGGGAAACAAAGGGCAGAGCGAGGAAGACAGAGGCCCAGAAGCUGUGACAGCAGAGAGCCCAAUGCAGGACUCCAAUCAAAUUCUUGGAACUCCGAGAUCAUGACUGGAGUGGAGUCAGACACUUAACGACUGAGCCACCGAUGCGCCCCCAAGCCUCAUAGCUUUAAUUCCAUCUUAAAAUACUGCUUAUGUUCACCACUGUGAGAUCGUGUCGUUUGAAGGAUACGUCAAGAAAGACCAAGAUGACUGUCUUACAGUUUUUUAAAACAAUAUUUUGAUGAUUCUUUCCAUAGGCUUGUUUCCUCUGCUACGAAUUCAUUUUAUACAUUUAAAAACAUACUUCUAAGAGAGGCUUCGCCAGAUGCCAAAGAGACCCUGGAGAAAAGUGGUGAAGAAAUUCAAGGAAAUGUUCACGGACUGCCUUAACGAUGAAUGGACGGGUUAAUUGUGUGUUGACCAGCUCUUUCUCACUGUCUGGCCUUUGCAUAUGCUGUUCCCUCUAUCUGGAACACCCUUCUCCUUU